RNAcentral lists this RNase P RNA (362 nucleotides) under Noviherbaspirillum galbum. RNAcentral's name for it is "Bacterial RNase P class A". It matches the Rfam family "Bacterial RNase P class A". Rfam says of the family: Ribonuclease P (RNase P) is a ubiquitous endoribonuclease, found in archaea, bacteria and eukarya as well as chloroplasts and mitochondria. Its best characterised activity is the generation of mature 5'-ends of tRNAs by cleaving the 5'-leader elements of precursor-tRNAs. The record is from Rfam by way of RNAcentral. Lineage: Bacteria; Pseudomonadati; Pseudomonadota; Betaproteobacteria; Burkholderiales; Oxalobacteraceae.
GAAGCAAGCCAGACAGCCGCUGGUUGCCCCGGUUUCCGGGGCGGCGGGAGGAAGGUCCGGACUCCAUAGAGCAGGGUAACGGCUAACGGCCGUCCGUCGAAAGCCGCAAGGUAUAAGGCGCGGAACAGGGCCACAGAGACGAGUCUUCGGGACGUCCGGCAUGCCGGCGUCACGAAGGGUGAAACGCGGUAACCUCUAUCCGGAGCAAUUCCAAAUAGGCACGCGAUGAUGCUGCUCGCGGAGCGUGCGGGUAGGAAGCUUGAGCCACGGAGCAAUCCCUGGCCUAGAGGAAUGGCUGUCAUAGCAAGCGGGGGCGACUCCGGGCGCCGUAACAGAAUCCGGCCUAUCGGCUUGCUUCAUUU